AUUUCAGCUCCAGCUUCAGUGACUCAUCCCAGCAGGCUGACCCCCUCCUGAGGCUGGACCAGCUGCCUCUCCGUCUAGGUGAGGGCCAGGCAAGUUUCUCGUCUUCUGAUGCUUACUGUUUGGGGGACUCGCGGGGAGGGGGUCUUCCAGCCUGUGUCUGUCUGCCUUUGCUUCCUCCCUCUGGCUCUCUCCAUUGGAGACAGAAAGUUAGAUUUAAAAAACGCAACAGAGAAUAUAAAAUCUAUGCUCAGACCCCAGAUAAACAAAACUCUGGGGCCAUAUUCUUAAUUUACCGGGUACCUUCACAUGUCCGAAUGCGGCGUUUAUGGAGCUAGGAAUGUUUUAUUUGUUUCGUGUAUUUCCCUCCUCUCCCCCAUUUUCCUCCGGUGUAAUUCUUAGAGGUGGGGACAGGAGAGCCAGAGGGCUUAGCUGGGAUCCUUUGCCAGAGUGGCUUCUUCAUUCUCUGCGAGGUAGCAGAUGUUUUACUGUAGCCUGAGUUGGGAUCUUGGAACAACCCUCUCCAGCCCAGGACAUGCCAGCGCUUAAGGUGCACUGGCUGAGCGCCAUCAAUUAUACACAUUAAUGCAAUUAGUCAAGAUACAGAAGCUUGUAUUCCAAAUGAAAAUUUCCUACAUCUGAGGCAUCUGUGUAAAAGCUAGGAAGAGCAUCUUGAAACCAUGAAGCAACCAUUCAAAGAACAAAAUCCCAUAUGCUAAGGAUGGUCAAACAUAACAGCAGAAAAAGCCUAUGUCCUUCAUGACAUGGGUGAGCCACCAAACCAACCUGACAUUGAG
RNAcentral lists this long non-coding RNA (794 nucleotides) under Homo sapiens (human). Its description in RNAcentral is "HSALNT0407251". The record is from RNAcentral. Lineage: Eukaryota; Metazoa; Chordata; Mammalia; Primates; Hominidae.